ACCUGAACUUUUCUCCUCACAUCCAAAGGAAGCUCCCGAAGAUGGUGGAUGGGUUAUUAGCCAGAACAGAAAAAGUCAUGCUAAGGCCAACUUGAUGAGAAAAAAAAGGAAAUUUCUAAGGAUAAGUAAAUAAAGUAUAGUCUUGUCAA
Pantherophis guttatus is the source of this 149-nucleotide non-coding RNA. The record is from RefSeq and is a predicted model, not a curated record. Lineage: Eukaryota; Metazoa; Chordata; Lepidosauria; Squamata; Colubridae.